AUGAACUCUCUACUUCUCAGGCCGCUCCCGAGCGCGACCACGAGCGGGAGCCUAGUCGGUCGCGUCUCCCCAGCGGCGCAGAGGCGUCCCGGCGCGGUGGCCUGGCCGCGCGACGGGAGAUGCCGUCGCGGCGGCGUUGCGGCGGCGGGGGCGUGGAUGGAGGAGGCGGGGACGGCGGUGCUUGAGGAGGCUGUGCGGCGGAACCCGGCGUUGUCGGAGUCCUACCGGCCGGCGGGGCUGCCCCGGCCCAACGGCACGGUGCUGGAGGCGCAGGGGCGGGUGUGCACGGGGCCCGAGCAGACGCGGCCGCUCGGGGAGGAGCAGGCCAUGCGCGUCCUCGACACCAUCCUCCGCUCCGCGACGGGGGAACUCAAAGACGAGCCGGUGUCCAGUGCACAGCUGGGUGCAUUCUUUGCUGGCAUGACAAUAAGAGCUAAUUGUUUUCCGGAGGCCACCCAAUGGAGUGAGGGGGAGCGACGUGCCAUGAGCCUAUUCUGGCCACACCUUGUGCAUGUUCUUCCUCCGGAGGUGAAGUUUAUAGCAGACCCUGAAGGAACAAUCAUGGGAGCAAAUGGUUUAACAGGACCUCGUUAUAUUGGUCAAGGAACUGCAGAGAUGAGACUCGUUGGUGCUUUGAGGGAAGUGCUUGCUGGUGGCCAUUUAGGUUAUGAGGAAAUUCAGUGUGUACUAAAGGAUGUUCUACCAUUUGGAUCGAUGGGUGCAAGUUCACCAUCAGUUAGUGAAGCACUGCUAGCAGCAUUUUUAAUUGGACAGCGGAUGAAUAGGGAAACCGAUCGUGAGCUAAAAGGAUAUUGUCUAGCCUUUGAUGAUGAACUAGGCCCUCCCCCAAUUGCUGAUGUUAAUUCCUUGACACACUAUGGUGAGCCCUAUGAUGGGAAUACACGCUUCUUUAGGAGUACUCUGUUUGUUGCGGCUGUUAGAGCCUGCUAUGGUGAGGCUUGUCUCCUUCAUGGCGUUGAAUGGAUGCCACCUAAGGGUGGCAUAACAGAAGGGCAGAUGCUUAAAUUCAUGGGUGCAAACACACACUUGUCUCCUACACAGGCCAAAACACUAUUGGAGGAUAAGGAUACUGGUUUUGCAUAUCUGAAUCUCCAAGAAGCUUGCCCACCAUUAUAUUCGAUUAUCGGGCUCAGGGAGCAUAUUAAGAAAAGACCACCGUUGGCUACCUCUGAGAAAGUUCAACAAUUUGUGAGAGCACGGGGAAGGGAGUCAAUGGUUGCUGGAUUUUAUCAUGUGGGCUAUGAAGAUCCAUUGCUUAUGCUUAUGAGAAGGAGAACUGUUCAUGCUGGAUUAGUUGUGAAGGGUGAGGAAGGUGCACUUUCUUUGACAACCAAAGAAAGAUCGGCCCAUGCUUCCAAAGGGAUUCCAGUGAACCACUGCUCAGGGUUCCGGACACCAAGCAGCGCAAACUUCUCCGAAACUGACGGUAUUUCUAGAGAGAGCUUCAGAGUUGCUGUGAAUGCUCAGGAACUUGGUUUCAAAUCCACUGAAACUCCAAGAACUGAUAAAUCAGUACUGAAAAACUUGGAGCUGGGUUUGUCAGCGCUGGGUGGAGACAAAGGGCCUGCUUAUGACCGAAUAGUUCUUAACGCAGCUAUGGCCGACCACUUGUUAGGCUGUAGCGGAGCUCAGGAUAUCAACUCCGCGCUUGACAGGGCAAGAGAAGCCAUCGACAGCGGUAAUGCUUUGAGAAGGCUCAUGAACUACAUAAAAAUCUCGCACAAGGUGUCCUAG
This 1755-nucleotide ribosomal RNA is filed under the name Triticum aestivum (bread wheat). RNAcentral's name for it is "partial small subunit ribosomal RNA". The record is from RNAcentral. Lineage: Eukaryota; Viridiplantae; Streptophyta; Magnoliopsida; Poales; Poaceae.